This 253-nucleotide ribosomal RNA is filed under the name uncultured bacterium. Its description in RNAcentral is "partial 16S ribosomal RNA". It matches the Rfam family "Bacterial small subunit ribosomal RNA", at positions 524 to 776 of the family's 1533-position model. The record is from RNAcentral.
UACGGAGGGUGCAAGCGUUAUCCGGAUUCACUGGGUUUAAAGGGUGCGUAGGUGGGCAGGUAAGUCAGUGGUGAAAUCUCCGAGCUUAACUCGGAAACUGCCGUUGAUACUAUUUGUCUUGAAUAUUGUGGAGGUAAGCGGAAUAUGUCAUGUAGCGGUGAAAUGCUUAGAUAUGACAUAGAACACCAAUUGCGAAGGCAGCUUACUACACAACGAUUGACGCUGAGGCACGAAAGCGUGGGGAGCGAACGGG